UGGUUCUGGCAUCGAUGAAGAACGCAGCGAAAUGCGAUAAGUAAUGCGAAUUGCAGAAUUCCAGUGAGUCAUCGAAUCUUUGAACGCACAUUGCGCCCUUUGGCAUUCCGAAGGGCAUGCCUGUUCGAGCGUCAUUAUCACCCCUCGGGCCCCGUGCUCGACGUUGGACGGCCGGUCGGGCAACCGACCCCUCCUAAAGACAAUGACGGCGGCCUGUGGUUCCCCCCGGCACACUGAGCUUUUCACCGAGCACGUGCCGGACGAGGGCGCCCUGGACCCGGUCCUCUCCUUUCACCAGGAAAUUUUUUGCAAGGUUGACCUCGGAUCAGGUAGGAAUACGCGCUGA
RNAcentral lists this unclassified non-coding RNA (346 nucleotides) under uncultured fungus. Its description in RNAcentral is "partial contains 5.8S ribosomal RNA and internal transcribed spacer 2". The stretch from base 1 to 134 matches the Rfam family "5.8S ribosomal RNA", at positions 22 to 154 of the family's 154-position model. The record is from RNAcentral. Lineage: Eukaryota; Fungi.